AACGCGAAGAACCUUACCUGGGCUUGAACUGCACCGGACAAAGGUAGAAAUACCUCUCCCGCAAGGGCUGGUGUAGAGGUGCUGCAUGGCUGUCGUCAGCUCGUGCCGUGAGAUGUUGGGUUAAGUCCCGCAACGAGCGCAACCCUUAUCGUUAGUUGCCAGCGGGUUAUGCCGGGCACUCUAGCGAAACCGCCCCGGAUAACGGGGAGGAAGGUGGGGAUGACGUCAAGUCCUCAUGGCCUUUAUGUCCAGGGCUACACACGUGCUACAAUGGCCGGUACAAACCGUCGCAAACCCGCGAGGGGGAGCUAAUCGGAAAAAGCCGGCCUCAGUUCGGAUUGGAGUCUGCAACCCGACUCCAUGAAGCUGGAAUCGCUAGUAAUCGCAGAUCAGCACGCUGCGGUGAAUACGUUCCCGGGCCUUGUACACACCGGAGUA
Molecule: ribosomal RNA, 438 nt
Filed under: uncultured bacterium
Lineage: Bacteria
Description: bacterial SSU rRNA
Rfam family: Bacterial small subunit ribosomal RNA
Source: RNAcentral